UAAAAAAUGCAAUAUUUUAGGAGGAACAGAAAUAGAUCAUGGUAGUGAAAAUGUUUGGAAGUAUGGUGUGUGAUUCUGAACCUAGUAAAUACACCUUGAAACACUGCAAAAUUUUAGUCCCUUUGAUUUCCUUACUAUGAGGCCUAUGAUUUAAAGCUGUGACAUACCAAGGGCAUAAUAGCCAAUUAAGUAAAUGGGAAGUUUCUCUCUUAGAGUUCCUGAAUCAGAAUCUUGUCAUUCAGGCUCUGAGGCUCAGCACCCUCUGCUGCUGGUGGCACAAAAUGAGCUGAUGAUAAUUGAGAAGGCUCCUUCUGACGACUCUUGUUGUUUUUGUUAGCACUACACAACCCACCUCCAGCUAUGAUGGUAAUAACACAAGUUAGUGGGUGAUGAAAGCUUUGGUUCAGUUAACAUUUAACAUAGAUGUAUUGCAUUUUACCAAAUUAAAGUAGAAAUUAGAGGGUAGCUAAUUUAAUUUGAAAUACAUUCUAUCACUCUCUCUGGAUUUUCUUUAGUAUUCUUGAAACCUGUUCACUGAUAAACACCUAUCAAAUGUUUCUUAUUUUACGCCAUGGCUCAAAUGACAUUUAGCUAGAGAAUGAAGUUCUGAAGAUUUAAAUUUUGUUGUUUUACCUCACCACUUGACAUUUAUUAACAUUUCAAAGCUCUCCAGCCUCUCAGGAUCUGCUAUCCAGUUUGAAGCUGUUUUCUGUCAGUGCUGAAUACCAGUGAUGUCAGAAGAAAGGAGAAAAACUUUUCAUCAGAAGAUAACCAAUCCAUUUUCUCAAUGAGAAGAACAAUCUGAGUACUAGAGCCAUGUGGGGCCUUCUACUGCUAGGUGGAAAACCCCCCUAACAUUUCAGUUCACCAGGCUGUAUUUUUGCUAUGUGAAAACAGUCCUUGUCUUCAAUUUCAAAGCCUAUUGUGGAGAAAGUGGAAGUCAAAGAGGAUGAUAAAGGAAAAAUAAAAAGCAAAACCCCAGCAGUGGAUGCCCAAGGAUUUUCACUGAACUGGUUGGAUUGACUAUAACCAGGAACUGAAAAUUUAAAGGUUUCUUCUCACUGAAGAAGAUCAAGACUUCAUAUUUCAAAUUCCAAAUGGAAUGACAACCUACAGUGAACUUGUUCAGCUGAAAUUUCCGGGAUCUUAGGCACUCCAAGCUACUGGAAAAACAUCCUGUUAUUAAUCCUGGAUUAAUGAAGAGAAUGGACUUAGGGCAUGAUCCAGAGCCCAUUGUAGUCAAUGGGAGACUUUUUCCAUUGACUUCAUCGGGGUUUGGAUCAGGCCUUUACUACCUAAAAUGAAUAAACUCCCAGCAAAAUCUGCUAUAAGCAAGUGGCAUCCUUUCCUGAGAUCUUAGAAGAUAUUGAAGACAAUAAUAGCCAUGCCUUCCCCAUGACUAUGGCUGUGUGUGUGGCUCACUGCUCAUGGGGAGCACCCAGUGUAGCUUAAAAGCAAAGAAAACCCUUAAAAGUCGAAGCAUUGCUGGUCACAUUCAGAAUAUCUGGUCUAGGAAGUAUGGAUUUAUGUUCCUAAAAUAAAUUGUUAAAUUACGAGAAACAAAGCUGAUACAUUUCUGAAUAUUUCUUAGUUUCUAGGGAAAAGGGAUUAUUUCGGUUUAAAACUCUCAGAAGUCUAGUAUGUGAAUUCUUGAUGUUCAGAAGUAAAAGCAAUAAUGUCAACAGAGACUUUACUUUCUGUGACCAAACCUGCAAUGAUAGUACUAACACAAAAUCAUCAAUUAGUCUAUGAAGAGUGAUGAUUUUCAAGUGUCUCUAAAGAACAACAAUAUGGUACAACAUUGAAGGCAAAUAAAGGAUAUAUUUAAAAAUAAAAAAAUAGAAGGGAUUUGCAAAGUUCUUGUUUAGUACUGGUUGUUGUGGGUUUCUUAAAAAAAACCCCAAAACUCUCCUAACUCUUGAACCUGUGUACUUUCCAAAUAAAAAGUGCUAAUUAAGUCAUGUAAAUGUCUGAAAUCCUGAAUUCCUGAUAAUACAGGCAAAGCAAUGGCUUCAGGGCUUUUGGCUUCAUAGUCUUGAUUAGUUACAUGACAUCUGACUUGGGCAUCUGCAGGAGUGUCUCUGUCUAAGAUGCCUCUAAAGAUAACACUUUUGUAGCAGAAAACUUGUCAUGUGUCUGCAGUUGUUUAAUAUUGAUCUGAUUAAUUGUGUCCCAAAAUUACCUCUAUCUCUAUAUCUGGUUAUGAAAGAAACAAAUAUGGUAACUAAAAAAUACUUUAUAUAUUUGAGCACAUAAUUUUGCUUUCUACUCCAUCCUCAUGACACAAACUGAGAACCUUAAAACACUUCAAUCAGCACCAACCAAAAUCCAGAGGUUGAACAGUGAAGUGAUUGAUACAGCCUUUGGACUUCCAGAAAUCCUUUUUGUAGCAGUAGAGAGAACUUAGACAUUGCCAAUUGUAAUUUUCAAAACUUUGAAGCAAGUGAUUUACAAAGGGAAGAAGAAAGACUUUGAAAGAUUUUUGAAAGAUGUUCUUAAAUCUGGACACCCUUGUUACAUUCUUCUCCUUUUCCUCCUGUGUGAAGGUACUAAUAUUUUCCAUUUCUUGCCAACACUCUGAAGUAAUUGCUGCCUUGUACUUGUAGAAAGUUCUGUCAAAAAGUAACAUUUUUUAACAGACCACUUUGUUCCUCAUUUCCAUGGCAUAAUGACAUGCAUAGAGAGGAAGAAAAAUUUUUUAUAUGGCACCUUUGAAAGAGUUAUUUGUAAUGCUUUAUUUUUUAUUUUUUCUUUUUUUUAAUCAAAUAAUAUCAAAUAAUAUGGGGCAGAUUGUUGGUGCUUCUGAGGCAAUUAAAUCUUUCACAGUAAUUCCAUAAGGACAGAGUUUCUUGGUUGACUGAAAGAGAACUUAAGUGGAAAUGGACCUGCUUGAAAAAUCUCUUUGGGAGAUAUAAUGAUACAGUGAAACUCCUCAAGAACUCUUGCUUUUAUAUUUAAUCUAAAUUUCUUUUCCCAUUAGAAGUUAAAUGCAUUGAUCUUGCUGGUUUACACACAUUUUGGGGAAACAUUAUAAUCAAAGCAUGUAUUGUAAUUGGGAUCAUUAUUUCACGCUAUAAUUUGUUUUCUUAUAAGAAGUUCAAUGCCUUACUAGGUGACUCUUGUCAUGGUUUGUAUCUCCCCUGAUUGAUGUGAUCCUAUUUGACCCCAUUUUUGCAGCUUGAAAUGCUGUAUAGGACAAAAAUUCUAUUUGAACACUGGUAAGAUUCACCAUUAUAUUUUCCAUUUUCCACUUAUAUUCUAUAAGUCUGAUUGAUAUGACUGUAGAUGAUAAUGCAAUUAUACUGUAAAUCUCUAUAUGUGAAUUAUAGAUACAGUUUUGAGGUUGACUUUGGGCCACUGGUUUUUGAAAUUUGCUAUUAUAUUGGCUAAUUUUUAAAUAAAUGUUAAGAUUCUUCUUUUAUAUAAUCUCUUCCAUUCAUUAUAUUAUUUUCUUGUUGCUAGUUCUUAGAUUUCAGCAAUAACACUGAUUAAAACUAUUUAUAGAUUUCCCUCUGUAAUUAAUCUGUUUUCCUAACAUUCACAAGAAUGUUUAUAAUAUGCAUCUUUAUAUUCUUGAAAAAAUUGUAUGAUAAUACUGCCAAAAUAUUUUGGAAUUGUUUUCCUUUAAGCUCUGUAAAUUAUUUCUGUCAUUUAUGUUAAUAUAUUUUAAUUCAGUAAAAAUAAGCUAACAAACUGUGAAGGGCGUAAACUAUAAACCUCUCAACAGCUUUGGCAAGCAAGAAAAGUCAUGAGAAAAUAUGAAUGGGGAUUUGGAGGAUCUGUUCUCUGAGUGAGUGAUGUUAUAAAAUAAAGACUUUAUGGAUGA
This is a long non-coding RNA of Zonotrichia leucophrys gambelii, 3826 nucleotides long. RefSeq lists it as uncharacterized. The record is from RefSeq and is a predicted model, not a curated record. The transcript is spliced from 2 exons. Lineage: Eukaryota; Metazoa; Chordata; Aves; Passeriformes; Passerellidae.